RNAcentral lists this ribosomal RNA (2903 nucleotides) under Escherichia coli. Its description in RNAcentral is "23S ribosomal RNA". It matches the Rfam family "Bacterial large subunit ribosomal RNA". Lineage: Bacteria; Pseudomonadati; Pseudomonadota; Gammaproteobacteria; Enterobacterales; Enterobacteriaceae. The record is from RNAcentral.
GGUUAAGCGACUAAGCGUACACGGUGGAUGCCCUGGCAGUCAGAGGCGAUGAAGGACGUGCUAAUCUGCGAUAAGCGUCGGUAAGGUGAUAUGAACCGUUAUAACCGGCGAUUUCCGAAUGGGGAAACCCAGUGUGUUUCGACACACUAUCAUUAACUGAAUCCAUAGGUUAAUGAGGCGAACCGGGGGAACUGAAACAUCUAAGUACCCCGAGGAAAAGAAAUCAACCGAGAUUCCCCCAGUAGCGGCGAGCGAACGGGGAGCAGCCCAGAGCCUGAAUCAGUGUGUGUGUUAGUGGAAGCGUCUGGAAAGGCGCGCGAUACAGGGUGACAGCCCCGUACACAAAAAUGCACAUGCUGUGAGCUCGAUGAGUAGGGCGGGACACGUGGUAUCCUGUCUGAAUAUGGGGGGACCAUCCUCCAAGGCUAAAUACUCCUGACUGACCGAUAGUGAACCAGUACCGUGAGGGAAAGGCGAAAAGAACCCCGGCGAGGGGAGUGAAAAAGAACCUGAAACCGUGUACGUACAAGCAGUGGGAGCACGCUUAGGCGUGUGACUGCGUACCUUUUGUAUAAUGGGUCAGCGACUUAUAUUCUGUAGCAAGGUUAACCGAAUAGGGGAGCCGAAGGGAAACCGAGUCUUAACUGGGCGUUAAGUUGCAGGGUAUAGACCCGAAACCCGGUGAUCUAGCCAUGGGCAGGUUGAAGGUUGGGUAACACUAACUGGAGGACCGAACCGACUAAUGUUGAAAAAUUAGCGGAUGACUUGUGGCUGGGGGUGAAAGGCCAAUCAAACCGGGAGAUAGCUGGUUCUCCCCGAAAGCUAUUUAGGUAGCGCCUCGUGAAUUCAUCUCCGGGGGUAGAGCACUGUUUCGGCAAGGGGGUCAUCCCGACUUACCAACCCGAUGCAAACUGCGAAUACCGGAGAAUGUUAUCACGGGAGACACACGGCGGGUGCUAACGUCCGUCGUGAAGAGGGAAACAACCCAGACCGCCAGCUAAGGUCCCAAAGUCAUGGUUAAGUGGGAAACGAUGUGGGAAGGCCCAGACAGCCAGGAUGUUGGCUUAGAAGCAGCCAUCAUUUAAAGAAAGCGUAAUAGCUCACUGGUCGAGUCGGCCUGCGCGGAAGAUGUAACGGGGCUAAACCAUGCACCGAAGCUGCGGCAGCGACACUAUGUGUUGUUGGGUAGGGGAGCGUUCUGUAAGCCUGUGAAGGUGUACUGUGAGGUAUGCUGGAGGUAUCAGAAGUGCGAAUGCUGACAUAAGUAACGAUAAAGCGGGUGAAAAGCCCGCUCGCCGGAAGACCAAGGGUUCCUGUCCAACGUUAAUCGGGGCAGGGUGAGUCGACCCCUAAGGCGAGGCCGAAAGGCGUAGUCGAUGGGAAACAGGUUAAUAUUCCUGUACUUGGUGUUACUGCGAAGGGGGGACGGAGAAGGCUAUGUUGGCCGGGCGACGGUUGUCCCGGUUUAAGCGUGUAGGCUGGUUUUCCAGGCAAAUCCGGAAAAUCAAGGCUGAGGCGUGAUGACGAGGCACUACGGUGCUGAAGCAACAAAUGCCCUGCUUCCAGGAAAAGCCUCUAAGCAUCAGGUAACAUCAAAUCGUACCCCAAACCGACACAGGUGGUCAGGUAGAGAAUACCAAGGCGCUUGAGAGAACUCGGGUGAAGGAACUAGGCAAAAUGGUGCCGUAACUUCGGGAGAAGGCACGCUGAUACGUAGGUGAAGUCCCUCGCGGAUGGAGCUGAAAUCAGUCGAAGAUACCAGCUGGCUGCAACUGUUUAUUAAAAACACAGCACUGUGCAAACACGAAAGUGGACGUAUACGGUGUGACGCCUGCCCGGUGCCGGAAGGUUAAUUGAUGGGGUCAGCGCAAGCGAAGCUCUUGAUCGAAGCCCCGGUAAACGGCGGCCGUAACUAUAACGGUCCUAAGGUAGCGAAAUUCCUUGUCGGGUAAGUUCCGACCUGCACGAAUGGCGUAAUGAUGGCCAGGCUGUCUCCACCCGAGACUCAGUGAAAUUGAACUCGCUGUGAAGAUGCAGUGUACCCGCGGCAAGACGGAAAGACCCCGUGAACCUUUACUAUAGCUUGACACUGAACAUUGAGCCUUGAUGUGUAGGAUAGGUGGGAGGCUUUGAAGUGUGGACGCCAGUCUGCAUGGAGCCGACCUUGAAAUACCACCCUUUAAUGUUUGAUGUUCUAACGUGGACCCGUAAUCCGGGUUGCGGACAGUGUCUGGUGGGUAGUUUGACUGGGGCGGUCUCCUCCUAAAGAGUAACGGAGGAGCACGAAGGUUGGCUAAUCCUGGUCGGACAUCAGGAGGUUAGUGCAAUGGCAUAAGCCAGCUUGACUGCGAGCGUGACGGCGCGAGCAGGUGCGAAAGCAGGUCAUAGUGAUCCGGUGGUUCUGAAUGGAAGGGCCAUCGCUCAACGGAUAAAAGGUACUCCGGGGAUAACAGGCUGAUACCGCCCAAGAGUUCAUAUCGACGGCGGUGUUUGGCACCUCGAUGUCGGCUCAUCACAUCCUGGGGCUGAAGUAGGUCCCAAGGGUAUGGCUGUUCGCCAUUUAAAGUGGUACGCGAGCUGGGUUUAGAACGUCGUGAGACAGUUCGGUCCCUAUCUGCCGUGGGCGCUGGAGAACUGAGGGGGGCUGCUCCUAGUACGAGAGGACCGGAGUGGACGCAUCACUGGUGUUCGGGUUGUCAUGCCAAUGGCACUGCCCGGUAGCUAAAUGCGGAAGAGAUAAGUGCUGAAAGCAUCUAAGCACGAAACUUGCCCCGAGAUGAGUUCUCCCUGACCCUUUAAGGGUCCUGAAGGAACGUUGAAGACGACGACGUUGAUAGGCCGGGUGUGUAAGCGCAGCGAUGCGUUGAGCUAACCGGUACUAAUGAACCGUGAGGCUUAACCUU